CUAGGAAUUGGGACACUUGUGCAUACACUGAAUUUUUAAAAAGGAACACAGAAGCUAUUAUGGAGCUUGGAAUUUCAAAUUAAUAAGGUUAUAGCCUUAUCUGUUUGGGAGAUUCAAUGAGGACUUCAAUUGUCGUGAUAAUAUUACCUUAUCCAAUCACACAUUGAUGUUCUUGAUCGCAACUCUUAUUGCUCACUAUUUAUGUGGCUUUACUAGAACAUAUUCACAGAUACUCGUGAAAAACAUACAAAGAUAUGCUUGGUAGUCAUUACAUCAUUGGAAAAUGACAAGUUUUAAGAUCCAUCUUAGUGUUUCCUGAUUAUAUGAGCACCUUUUGGGCCCCAUUUCAGAAGCCAUUAGCAAUGCUUGCAAGCUAUACUAUCUUUUGCCAGAUAACGAGGCAUAACUUUUAAGCUGUGUUUUUAUGGACCAUAAUUUUCAUGUUUUGGCAAAACUGAUAUUACUUAUUAGGUCUAGAAACUCAUUCAAAAGGUAAAUCCUCAUUAUAGUACUUGAUGAUUAGUCCUGAAGUUUGCACUUAAACAGGCAACUGAUGCUCACGUUGAUGUGGAAUUUUUCAACUUGCAGUAUUUCAAUUACAUUGUCCCUAGUUUUGUUAAUAAAUUGAAAUUGUAGCCUAGGUUGUCAGCCUCAAGCUCUUUGUAUAAACUGAUAAACAAGGACGGUACAUGAUCCACUGACCUUAUCCAGGUUCUUAUGUUGGGGUUGUUUCCAUGUGAAAUCUGUUGACGUGCAGCUCAGUAAAAAAUUGGAAAACUCCCCUGGUGAAGAAGUGGAGUACAGAGGUCAUCACAAAGCUGUAAUUGGUGUUUUCAUCAUUCAUCAAAGACCUUUUGCCCUCCGAGAAUGUUUUUUGUGUGUAAUUUCCUGUAUUCUGGAGCUCUACUAGACUAUGGACUGACACCAUUUGAAAGAAACUGGUGAAGCCGCAGUUCGAAAAGAGGUUGCAAGCGAGAUACAGUAUUUGUAAUUUGAGAGAAACUUUUGAGAAUACAAUGAGAGACAAAGAUGAUUUUAUUGGUAUGUUCAGAUGGGAUUGGUUAUGUAAAUGGUUUGAGAGUGUAUGCCAGUAGUCAUACAAGUUGGUUCUUGAUUAAAGUAUUUUGGGCAAUGAAUGUUGUAUCCAACAAUUCAAUCCUUC
Molecule: long non-coding RNA, 1162 nt
Organism: Juglans microcarpa x Juglans regia
Lineage: Eukaryota; Viridiplantae; Streptophyta; Magnoliopsida; Fagales; Juglandaceae
Exons: 2
Source: RefSeq, a predicted model, not a curated record